UACGUAGGGUGCAAGCGUUGUCCGGAAUUAUUGGGCGUAAAGAGCUCGUAGGCGGUCUGUCGCGUCGGCUGUGAAAUCCCGGAGCUCAACUCCGGGCCUGCAGUCGAUACGGGCAGACUGGAGUUCGGCAGGGGAGACUGGAAUUCCUGGUGUAGCGGUGAAAUGCGCAGAUAUCAGGAGGAACACCGGUGGCGAAGGCGGGUCUCUGGGCCGAUACUGACGCUGAGGAGCGAAGCGUGG
Molecule: ribosomal RNA, 240 nt
Filed under: uncultured bacterium
Lineage: Bacteria
Description: partial 16S ribosomal RNA
Rfam family: Bacterial small subunit ribosomal RNA
Source: RNAcentral